This 288-nucleotide small RNA is filed under the name Jaculus jaculus (lesser Egyptian jerboa). Its description in RNAcentral is "7SK RNA (ENSJJAG00000003741.1)". It matches the Rfam family "7SK RNA". From Rfam's summary of the family: 7SK was discovered as an abundant small nuclear RNA in the mid-70s but a possible function has only recently been suggested. Two independent studies have found that 7SK RNA binds the CDK9/cyclin T complex (known as elongation factor P-TEFb). Lineage: Eukaryota; Metazoa; Chordata; Mammalia; Rodentia; Dipodidae. The record is from Rfam by way of RNAcentral.
GGAUGUGAGGGUGAUCUGGCUGCGAUAUCUGUCAUCCCAUUGAUCACCAGGGUUGAUUCGGCUGAUCGGGCUGGCUAGGCGGGUGUUCCCUUCCUCCCUCACCGCUCCACGUGCCUUCCUCCUGAAGCUGCGCGCUUGGUCCAGGAGGAUGCUCUUCCUGCGUAGGGGAGGACCGGUCUUCAGUCCAGGACACUUGAGGCGCUGCGCUGCCCUGCUAGAUCUUCCCAGCAAGAUCUCAAAAGUAUAUUGCUCAGUGUCCAAGAAUUUGUGUCAUUUCUGAGGUUUCUC